UACGGAGGAUCCGAGCGUUAUCCGGAUUUAUUGGGUUUAAAGGGUGCGCAGGCGGGAGAUUAAGUCGGCGGUGAAAUUUUGCAGCUCAACUGUAAAAGUGCCUUCGAAACUGGUUUCCUUGAGUGUAGAUGAAGUAGGCGGAAUUUGUGGUGUAGCGGUGAAAUGCUUAGAUAUCACGAGGAACUCCGAUUGCGCAGGCAGCUUACUAAACUACUACUGACGCUCAGGCACGAAGGCGUGGGGAUCAAACAGGAUUAGAUACCCUGGUAGU
This 271-nucleotide ribosomal RNA is filed under the name uncultured prokaryote. RNAcentral's name for it is "partial 16S ribosomal RNA". It matches the Rfam family "Bacterial small subunit ribosomal RNA", at positions 524 to 794 of the family's 1533-position model. The record is from RNAcentral.